This 725-nucleotide long non-coding RNA is filed under the name Numida meleagris (helmeted guineafowl). RNAcentral describes it as "lncRNA (ENSNMEG00000002123.1)". Lineage: Eukaryota; Metazoa; Chordata; Aves; Galliformes; Numididae. The record is from RNAcentral.
UGACAGGAGUGGGGGUGGUUCCAGUGGAGGUGACAUCUGUGGAGGUGGCACCAGUGGAGGUGACGUCAGUAGAGGUGACAUCUGUGGACGUGACAGGAGUGGGGGUGGUUCCAGUGGAGGUGACAGCAGUGGAGGUGACAUCUGUAGGUGUGACAGCAGUGGAAGUGAUGCCAGAGGAGGUGACAGCAGAAGAUGUGGCAGCUGAAGUGGUGACACCAGUGAACGAGACAGCUGAGGAGGUGACAGCUGUGGGGGUGACAGCAGUGGAGGUGACAGCAGUGGAGGUGAUGCCAGUAGAGGUGACAUCUGUGGAGUUGGCACCAGUGGAGGUGACAGAAGUGGAGGUGACAUCUGUGGAGGUGAGAGCAGUGGAGGUGACAGCAGUGGAGGUGACAUCUGUGGAGGUGACAGCAGUGGAAGUGACAGCAGUAAAUGUGGCAUCUGAAGUGGAGACAGCAGUGGAAGUGACAUCAGUGGAGGUGACAGCAGUGGAGGUGACAGCAGUGGAGGUGACAUCUGAGGAAGUGACGUCUGUGGAGGUGACAUCUGUAGGAGUAAUAGCAGAAGAGGUGACAUCUGUGGAGGUGACAUCAGUGGAGGUGACGCCAUUGGAGGUGACAGCAGUGGAAGUGACGCCAGUAGAGGUGACACCUGUGGAGGUGACAGGAGUGGGGGUGGUUCCAGUGGAGGUGACAUCUGUGGAGGUGGCACCAGUGGAGGUGACA